AGUGGAUGGGGAGCAACCUAGUUGUGCGUGUGUAAAGGUAGUGCCAAGAAAAGCGGUGAUCAUGAUGAAAAUCAAUUCCCGGUACCCGAAACCGACACAGGUGGGCAAGUAGAGAAUACUAAGGGGCGCGAGGUAACUCUCUCCAAGGAACUCGGCAAAAUGACCCCGUAACUUAGGGAGAAGGGGUGCCACCGAGAGGUGGUCGCAGUGAAGAGGCCCAGGCGACUGUUUAGCAAAAACAUAGGUCUCUGCAAACUCGAAAGAGGAGGUAUAGGGGCUGACGCCUGCCCAGUGCCGGAAGGUUAAAGAAGUUGGUCAGUCUUAGGAUGAAGCUAGCGACUGAAGCCCCGGUGAACGGCGGCCGUAACUAUAACGGUCCUAAGGUAGCGAAAUUCCUUGUCGGGUAAGUUCCGACCCGCACGAAAGGCGUAACGAUCUGGGCGCUGUCUCGGAGAGAGGCUCGGCGAAAUAGGAUUGUCUGUGAAGAUACGGACUACCUGCAUUUGGACAGAAAGACCCUAUGAAGCUUUACUAUAGCUUGGAAUUGUGUUCGGGCUUCCUGUGCGCAGGAUAGGUGGGAGGCGUAGAAGGUAUUCUUGUGGGGAUACUGGAGCCAACGGUGAGAUACCACUCUCAGGAGGCUAGAAUUCUAACUUAAUUAAGGACAGUUUCAGGUGGGUAGUUUGACUGGGGCGGUCGCCUCCAAAAAGGUAACGGAGGCGUACAAAGGUUCCCUCAGACUGGUUGGAAAUCAGUCGAAGAGUGCAAAGGCAGAAGGGAGCUUGACUGCGAGAAGCACAGUUCGAGCAGGGUGGAAACACGGUCUUAGUGAUCCGACGGUGCUGUGUGGAAGGGCCGUCGCUCAACGGAUAAAAGUUACUCUAGGAUAACAGGCUGAUCUCCCCCAAGAGUUCACAUCGACGGGGAGGUUUGGCACCUCGAUGUCGGCUCAUCGCAACCUGGGGCGGAAGUACGUCCCAAGGGUUGGGCUGUUCGCCCAUUAAAGCGGUACGUGAGCUGGGUUCAGAACGUCGUGAGACAGUUCGGUCCAUAUCCGAUGUAGGCGUGAGAAUAUUGAGAGGAGCCUUCCUUAGUACGAGAGGACCGGGAAGGACGCACCGCUGGUGUACCUGUUAUGAUGCCAAUUGUAAACGCAGGGUAGCCAAGUGCGGAGAGGAUAACCGCUGAAAGCAUCUAAGUGGGAAGCCCACCUCAAGAUGAGUAUUCUGGUGUAAGGUCACGGGAAGACGACCCGUAAAUAGGCACGAGGUGGAAGUGCAGAGAUGUAUGAAGCCGAAGUGUACUAAUAGACCGUCGGCUUGACC
RNAcentral lists this ribosomal RNA (1325 nucleotides) under metagenome. Its description in RNAcentral is "bacterial LSU rRNA". It matches the Rfam family "Bacterial large subunit ribosomal RNA", at positions 1561 to 2925 of the family's 2925-position model. The record is from RNAcentral.